GACGAACGCUGGCGGCGUGCUUAACACAUGCAAGUCGAACGGAAAGGCCUCUUUCGGGGGGUACUCGAGUGGCGAACGGGUGAGUAACACGUGAGUAACCUGCCCUUGACUUUGGGAUAACUUCAGGAAACUGGGGCUAAUACCGGAUAGGAGCUCCUGCUGCAUGGUGGGGGUUGGAAAGUUUCGGCGGUUGGGGAUGGACUCGCGGCUUAUCAGCUUGUUGGUGGGGUAGUGGCUUACCAAGGCUUUGACGGGUAGCCGGCCUGAGAGGGUGACCGGCCACAUUGGGACUGAGAUACGGCCCAGACUCCUACGGGAGGCAGCAGUGGGGAAUAUUGCACAAGGGGUGGAAGCCUGAUGCAGCAACGCCGUGUGCGGGAUGACGGCCUUCGGGUUGUAAACCGCUUUCGCUCAUGACGAAGCUUUGUGUGACGGUAGUGGGUAAAGAGGCACCGGCUAACUACGUG
Molecule: ribosomal RNA, 467 nt
Filed under: uncultured bacterium
Lineage: Bacteria
Description: partial 16S ribosomal RNA
Rfam family: Bacterial small subunit ribosomal RNA
Source: RNAcentral